AAGUCGUAACAAGGUUUCCGUAGGUGAACCUGCGGAAGGAUCAUUCAUAAUAAGUGUUUUAUGGCACUUUGUGUCGAACACCGAUCGAGCGAGCGCGGCGUGGUUCACGUCGUGCGAGGGAGCGCCCUUCCAGGCGCACCAGCGCCGUUCCCCGCUUCGGCUGGAGCUCGUCCACUUGUGGAGAAAGAACGGACCCAGUGCUUGCACCAACAACCUGUGCUUGAAAAGGAACCCAAAUGCAGUACAACUGCAAACGGUGGAUCACUCGGCUC
Molecule: unclassified non-coding RNA, 272 nt
Filed under: fungal sp.
Lineage: Eukaryota; Fungi
Description: partial internal transcribed spacer region
Rfam family: Eukaryotic small subunit ribosomal RNA (bases 1-46)
Source: RNAcentral